This 549-nucleotide ribosomal RNA is filed under the name uncultured bacterium. RNAcentral describes it as "bacterial SSU rRNA". It matches the Rfam family "Bacterial small subunit ribosomal RNA", at positions 355 to 896 of the family's 1533-position model. The record is from RNAcentral.
UAGGGCNNCUUCCGCAUGGGCGAAAGCCUGACGGAGCAACGCCGCGUGAGUGAUGAAGGUCUUCGGAUCGUAAAACUCUGUUAUCAGGGAAGAACAAAUGUGUAAGUAACUGUGCACAUCUUGACGGUACCUGAUCAGAAAGCCACGGCUAACUACGUGCCAGCAGCCGCGGUAAUACGUAGGUGGCAAGCGUUAUCCGGAAUUAUUGGGCGUAAAGCGCGCGUAGGCGGUUUUUUAAGUCUGAUGUGAAAGCCCACGGCUCAACCGUGGAGGGUCAUUGGAAACUGGAAAACUUGAGUGCAGAAGAGGAAAGUGGAAUUCCAUGUGUAGCGGUGAAAUGCGCAGAGAUAUGGAGGAACACCAGUGGCGAAGGCGACUUUCUGGUCUGUAACUGACGCUGAUGUGCGAAAGCGUGGGGAUCAAACAGGAUUAGAUACCCUGGUAGUCCACGCCGUAAACGAUGAGUGCUAAGUGUUAGGGGGUUUCCGCCCCUUAGUGCUGCAGCUAACGCAUUAAGCACUCCGCCUGGGGAGUACGACCGCAAGGUUG